Molecule: ribosomal RNA, 481 nt
Filed under: uncultured bacterium
Lineage: Bacteria
Description: bacterial SSU rRNA
Rfam family: Bacterial small subunit ribosomal RNA
Source: RNAcentral
AUUGAACGUUGGCGGCAGGCCUAAUACAUGCAAGUCGAACGAGAAAGCACUUCGGUGUGAGUACAGUGGCGGACGGGUGAGUAACGCGUAGGAAUCUACCUCUAGUGGGGGACAACUCGGGGAAACUCGAGCUAAUACCGCAUAAUAUCUAUGGAUCAAAGUGGGGGAUCUUUAAGACCUCACGCCAAGAGAGGAGCCUGCGUUGGAUUAGCUUGUUGGUGGGGUAAUGGCCUACCAAGGCGACGAUCUAUAGCUGGUCUGAGAGGACGAUCAGCCACACUGGAACUGAGACACGGUCCAGACUCCUACGGGAGGCAGCAGUAGGGAAUCUUGGGCAAUGGGCGCAAGCCUGACCCAGCCAUGCCGCGUGUGCGAAGAAGGCCCUAGGGUUGUAAAGCACUUUCAGUCGCGAAGAAAAGCUUGAAGUUAAUACCUUCGAGUCUUGACGUUAACGACAGAAGAAGUACCGGCUAACUCCGUG